This is a long non-coding RNA of Canis lupus familiaris (dog), 6104 nucleotides long. RefSeq lists it as uncharacterized. NCBI's taxonomy places the organism in Eukaryota, Metazoa, Chordata, Mammalia, Carnivora, Canidae. The record is from RefSeq and is a predicted model, not a curated record. The transcript has 5 exons.
GUGUUUUUCAUGGUUCUUGUGACCUCUGCAGAAGCCCCAGCUCUGGAAAGAAAGGAGCUGUUAAAUCCAGAACAUUUUCCUUAGAAUGUAUUUAUCAAAUCAGAGAUGAAAAGAAAAUGAAGGAACUGGGCCACAAGGAAGAAAAGAAGUGAAGAAUCCAAUACAAUCUGGGUCAUUUCAAACCAGCCACAGAGAACCUGCAUUUGGGGGACAUAUUUCAAGGAAGACACAGCCCACCAUUUAGAAUCCUCCCGAAUCUAUGAGACAAAGUGCUUCGGUGAAGCUCAGAGACUCAGUUUGGAGUUGCUACCAAAGCCUUCCCAUUGGAGAUCUUCCCAGAGAGAUGAUCCUUCUGCCUUCAGUUCAAUUGGCCUUUUUGGGGCGCUUCAUGCUUGUUGGCCAUGACGGUAGGAGGCUAGAGAGGCCACCGAAUGAAUGCUCCCCCUGCUGUCAAGGGAUUCCUAGACUCGAAGUGUCAAGUAUAUUGAACAUCAGAGAGCAUCUUUAAAUUUUCAGAUACCUUGGAAUUCUCUAAGCCUUGUUGGUAAACAUGCCACAGCAUCUAAAGCCCCUAAGAGGGCCUUCCAGUAACUUGAAUCUUUUCUAUAAGCCAGUAUUUGCUUCAAGCUCCAGAUAAAAGAUGGAAAGCUGAGAACUCAGUUGGGAAGCUAUCACACCGGUAUGGAGACAAGACACAAUAAUGACAUGAGCUGGGCAUGAACCGAGGGAAUGGAAUGGAGAGUUCACUUCCAAGGGUGUGUUUGGAGAUAAAAUGUAUAGGAAUUGGUAACCAACGGAUGUGAGAGAUUAAAGAAAAUAAGACAUGAAUGAAGCUUAUGAGCUUUCACUCUGGAAAACUGUCAAAAAAAGGCUAUAUCUGGGGAGGUGAUAAAGCAUAAAUAUGAGUUUGGGAUAUCUGAUAAUUAUUUUUCAAUAUGUAUGUCCUGGAAAACCACACACAUGAAAACUUCAAAAAAUCAGUUUCCACAGAUGAGUAGGUUUAGAAAAUACUAUGAAUCUUAUGCCAUUGGAGAUUUACAAUGCGCAUCGAUGUAUUAAAGAUCAAAGUUUUCUGGUUUUUUUUUUUUCCAAAAGAGACCCAUAUAUUUUCAGGGUAACAGUUCCCAAAAAUAUUUGACAAUAGAACCUUUUGCUCAACCUCCAUGAACAUUGCAAACCUAGCAUUCUGGGUAACAAUUGACACUUCAUAACAACUUACAAGUUGCUCAACCCAUCAGUAAAUACCCAACAAAAACUGCCGAAAAUGGCAUUGCAACAAGGUAGUCACCAAUUUCUUGAGCCUCACAUGAGACACAGCAAAGUCUUUAAGAGCCAAUACUUCUUGGAAUUUAUAAAAAAAAAAAAAUCAAAAUGAGCUUCAUUCUUUUGGCUCUUUCGGCAUUUGUAGUUCCUUCUAUCAGAGCUAAUACAUAAUAAGGUCUUUUAAACUACGCCAAGAAAAUUUGUACCCUGGGGAAUAAAAAUGUUUCCUAGCUGAAAAAUUUACCAACUUUUUAGCCUAAUACAAGAGUUACCUGUUGCUAUAGAACAAAUGUUUGCCCCUCCCCCAAAGCACUGUCCUAUGUCGAGAUUUUGAAAUGAAAAAGACAUCAGGGACCAGAUGAUAAGUGGUGUGUCAGCCAAUAUUUCUUAAGUGAGUGCUGCUUAUAAGAACCUGACAACAGGCUGACAUCACAUGAUCUUCCCUGGAUUCUGAAUCCCCAUUUGGAAAGUGAGGAGAAUUUUUAGUAAAGCUCACUGCGGAGCUGGAAAUCCUCGAUGGUUCCUGAAGCUGAACAGAAGGGGUUUCUGCACUUAUAAACGCAGACACUGAAAAUCACCCAAGGAGACAUAAUUUGCUUCCAACAUAUUGUGUUUUUUCGGCUUCAAAUUUCCAAGUGGGACCCCGAAUUGACCAGCAUGUUAGCUGGAGAAGGAAGAGUACAGCAGUUGAGACCAAGACUUAAGUGGGGUGAAUCCUAAUUCUGCUCUUUAUCACCAUGAAACUAACGAAGUUACGUAAACUUGUUUUCCUUGUUCCCUCGGCUCUAAUAAUGCCUAGAUCUAGGGUUUUGUGAAAAUUCAAAGGCUAACUCACAGAAGCCUGAAUUAAGAGGAGCUAUGAUUGUCAGCGCAAAGGCAAUGUCUGCAUAUAACCUGGAUGGCCCUGAUACAGAAAACAUUGAUAGAUUUCACAGGGGUGACAAAAUAAUGACAAUACCUUAGAUUUGAAUAGUGUUUGAGAGCAUAUGAGUGAGCGAUCCCACAUCUCUAAGCCCAUUCGAUAAUAAAGCACACUUCUCAAUAGAAUCGUGUUAGCAGAGCUGCGUCCAGCGGCUGGUGGGAAGCGGAGAAGCACAGCGAGCCAGGCAAGCCCAGCACCGACAGCCAUUAGUGAGAAAUAACAGAUGGUGUCUCAUUUUUUGCUAUAGGCAAAGAUCCAAAUGACAUGACUAAAUAGAAAGACAGCCCCAUAGGACUGCAUUUGGGCUCCUACUGAGCACGGAGCCUGAAAGGCAGGGACAUUUUUAAUAACCUUUCUUUGACAAGCUUAAAGCCAUUUAAUGUCUAAACCUGUCAUACACAUCCAGCCAGGAGAACAGACCUCCAGAGAAAACCCCAGAGCACAGUCUCACCUCCCUGUGAAAAAAUAAAAAAUGCACGCACACUUUACAAAAAAAAAAAAAAAUUAGACAGCAAGGUCACAAAAUGCUAACUUUCCAUUUAAAUAAAAACAGUCAUUGCCCUUCUCACGGCAACCUUCUAGACUUGCUUUCCAUUCUGCCCUGGAUGAAAAGUUGAGUUUCCAUCCAGUCAUUAUUUAAAUAAAACAAUAGAGGACUCAUGGCAGCUUUGGCUGAAAUCUUAGUUCAGUCUAAUUAGAAGGAAAUGCAUUAUAAAUUAUUAUGUGUUGAAAGUCUGCACCAGGAAAAAGAAAGAAAAUGAACUCAUAAUUCUUUAUAUAUUGGAUUUCACUUUUUCAUCAAUCCCAAUGAAACAACAAGUAAUUGCUUCUUUUUUAACAGCUUCUGAAGUAAAUGGCAAAAAAAAAAAUCGGUAAUCAACAUGAUUAAAAACUUUAUUAUUUUGUCUAUUGCUAUAAUAUUCAGUAGCGGUGCACCAGUGCUUCUGCAAAAACAUUCACUAUAGAAAAUUUAUCUAAUAAAUUGUAUUUGUUUUGCAACGCAUCAGCUAGUAGGAGCAUUCGUGUGGACAUGAAUUUGAUUUUCCCUGGAGUCCAUGGCUUCAUUUUGCCCCAGCUGUUUCAUUUUCUUCUCAUCACCAAAUCAUUUUAUUAUAACAACUUCCCAGGCCUUACUCUCCUAUAGUUUUAUGUGGCUGCAAACACAGAAGAGCUGCCUGAAUUCUGAGUAGUUGGUUGAAGGUUUACGUUUAAAUUCUGCCUUAAAUGUACAUUUGUCUGGAGGAGGAAGGCUGAUAGGGAAAAAAAAAUAGCUAGAAACGUACAUUUUAUCAUUACUUAACUAUACCACGUGAACACUUACUUACAAGAUCUGCAAUGAGGAAAAAAAUCACUUUAGUGAAAACAGGAAUAAUAUCAUCUGUUCUACAGUUUAACGAAUUAAACUCAAAUAAAAGAGGCUUACUUAUUGCUGCCUGUAGACAGACCUGGCGUUACUAUCCAUAUCUCCCUGAUAAAUCUCUCAUGCCAAAAGCAGUAUUUCAAGCUUGAGAUGUGUGUUUACUUGCCAAUUCGGUAACACUGUUAAGUCCAUGAAAGAGGCCCUUUUCCUUGUUUGCCACCGUAUUUCCAUGCCAUGCAUGUAGGGUAGGUUUUUAAGGACUAUUUGUUGAAUAUGUAAUGUAAUUAGCAGCACAAGGAUGGAUAGGACUCCCAAAGCGCAGUGAAACAGAAGCAAGCUGGAACACAUUUCACCCUGACCACGCCAGAGGAAGUUAGCAGGUGAAAACUGUGGGUCCCAGUGAUGGAAGGGAAAAAUGUUCAAGCUCAUUCCUUCAUCAGGGCCAUUUCCUAAACCCCUAGCCUUUGCCUUCUCUCCUCCAUCCCUCCUUUUCAAAGGACGUCUACGCUCUUCCGCAGCUCCACAUAACCUCGCAUGUCCAUGGGUAUCUGGAUGCUUCACCUCUGAUGGCCACUCUUCUCACUCUGGUGAACCAAAGACUCGUUGCAUUCCUGUCCCCUCUUUCUGCAGCGAGCUCUCUCUCCUGACCAUCACGCUUACGUUGCUGCUUCUGGUGGAGGCCACCUAGCAAAUCCUCAGAAAAUGAGUCCAGACACAAGGCCGCGAUUGGAGAUGGUUGGAAUCACAAUUUUCAACUUUAUGAUGGUGCAAAAGCCAAUGCACUCGGUAGUAGCCGUUCUUUGAAUUUUGGAUUUUGGCCCCUUGCUGGUCUAGAGGGUACGCGUGUGGCAGGCCGCAGCCUGUGCUGCUGGGCAGGGCGGCCAGCGCAGCUCCCCGUCUGCCACAUGGUCACAGGGAUAGACAAUGACACAUUUAGAAUCAUUCUGGACCCAUUCAACCAAUCUCUCUCACUUUCAGUUCGGUAUUCGAUGGAUUACCUGAGCUACUCAGCACUUUAUUAUAAAAUAGGCUUUGUGUUAGAGGAUUUCACCCAACUGUGGGCCAACAGCUGAGUGUCCUAAGCCCGCUUAAGGGAGGCGAGGCUCAGCUGUGACGUGCCUUGCUCAGGGUGUUAAGUGCAUUUUCAACUUGUAAUAUUUUCAACUGAUGAUGGAUUUAUCUGGACAUAACCCCGUUGUAAGCUGAGGAAGCUCUGUAGCGAGCAAAUGGGUGUAUUGCUUUUAUAGUCAGAAAUUCUAAUGUUACUGUUUUUUUUUUUUUUUUUUACAAAAAAUUCAUUCGCAUUGUGAAUCUUGACAAAACCAUUGUUAAAGAGCUUGCAGCCAAUAUGGGCUAUGAACACCUGGUUUAUUUCUCUGUACAAGAACAUAAAUAUCUCAACAUUAACAACAUGAACUUCAAACAUGUCGUUCCAGGAAAAUACAAAUGACACAUCCCAUUUCAAGGGUUUGAAGACAUACGUGACCUCUCAGUGCUAAAUGCCUGGAGGAUAGGGGCACCUGGGUGGCGCUGUUGAUUUGUGGCUGAGUCUAGACCCUCAAGUGGCUGAGUCUUGAUUUCGCUUCAGGUCAUGAUCUCAGGGUGGUGAGAUCAAGCCCUACCUGGGGCUCCCCACUGGGCAUAGAGCCUGCUUAAGAUUCCCUCCCUCUCCCUUGGCCCCCCAUUCCUCUCUAAAAAUAUAAAGCAUUAAAAAAAAAAAAAAAACCCUUGAGGGUUGUCUUCUCCAUAUCAGUAUAACUGCUCAGCACUGAGAAAGAAUUAUUUUACUUAAAAUAAUGUAAAAAUAAUAGGCAUAAAAAUAAAUGUUUUUUUCCUUGUUCCUUCUCUGAUGUUCAAAAUCCUAGUUUCUCUCUAGGCUACCUUUAAUUCUUUAUAUAAAAAUAUUCUUCUUCUUAAGAAUCCUAUAGCAUCUAAAUAGAUUGUUUUUCAUGGUUUAACCGGCAAUGCUUUCUCUCAAACUGGAUUUUAAGUUCCCCGAGGGCAGACAAGGCCUAUGUGUGUUCAUCUUUAUAUCUCUAGGUUUAGCACAAUAGCCAGUCAAGAGUAUUUUAAAAGGUGUGUUUAUUGAGAGUCAAACAAAAACCAGUCCGUUGUUUUUCCCAGUCUGUGGAGGGACUCGAGGACUAAUAUGUGUACAGCAAGCUCCUCCAAUGUUUGCUUAAAAUACAUCGGGCUUAUAGAUCAAUUUUCCAUAUAGACAAUUUCUCCAAUCAACAUAACAACAUUGUUAUUACUGAUAAAACAUCAUUGGGGUGGGUACAUAUAUUAAAUCAUCACAGUGUACUCUUUAAAUAUCUUACAAUUCCAUUUGUCAAUUAUAUGUCAAUAAAGCUGGGGAAAGAAUUUAAUAAAAGAAGGCUGGUUUUAAAAGGAAAAAAAAUGGCUUUAUUCAUGAAAGAUAGUAUUUAUCAUCUGACUCUUGCCUAAAGCUCCUCUGGAGAAGUGCUCAAAUCCAUCCUAUAAGCCUGGAUUAAAGCUUAAGUGAUAUCUGAAUAUAAUAAUGCAAAAAAUCACUUGUAAUAAAACCUCGUGUAUAUA